Molecule: transfer RNA, 30 nt
Filed under: Tremaster mirabilis
Lineage: Eukaryota; Metazoa; Echinodermata; Asteroidea; Valvatida; Asterinidae
Description: partial tRNA-Thr
Source: RNAcentral
AGCCUUAAAAGCUAAUCGGCCAGCUAUUAA